CGGCAAAGCUCAAAUUUGAAAUCUGGUACCUUUGGUGCCCGAGUUGUAAUUUGGAGAGUACCACUUUGGGACUGUACUUUGCCUAUGUUCCUUGGAACAGGACGUCAUGGAGGGUGAGAAUCCCGUGUGGCGAGGGUGUCAGUUCUUUGUAAAGGGUGCUCGAAGAGUCGAGUUGUUUGGGAAUGCAGCUCUAAGUGGGUGGUAAAUUCCAUCUAAAGCUAAAUACAGGCGAGAGACCGAUAGCGAACAAGUACAGUGAUGGAAAGAUGAAAAGAACUUUGAAAAGAGAGUGAAAAAGUACGUGAAAUUGUUGAAAGGGAAGGGCAUUUGAUCAGACAUGGUGUUUUGCGCCCCUUGCCUCUCGUGGGCUUGGGACUCUCGCAGCUCACUGGGCCAGCAUCGGUUUUGGCGGCCGGAAAAAACCUAGGGAAUGUGGCUCUGCGCCUCGGUGUAGAGUGUUAUAGCCCUGGGGAAUACGGCCAGCCGGGACCGAGGACUGCGAUACUUGUUAUCUAGGAUGCUGGCAUAAUGGUUAUAUGCCGCCCGUC
Molecule: ribosomal RNA, 548 nt
Filed under: Nakaseomyces glabratus
Lineage: Eukaryota; Fungi; Ascomycota; Saccharomycetes; Saccharomycetales; Saccharomycetaceae
Description: [Candida] glabrata partial large subunit ribosomal RNA
Rfam family: Eukaryotic large subunit ribosomal RNA
Source: RNAcentral